CGGACGGGUGAGUAACGCGUGGAAAACCUGCCGUAUACUGGGGGAUAACACUUAGAAAUAGGUGCUAAUACCGCAUAAGCGCACAGCUUCGCAUGAAGUGGUGUGAAAAACUCUGGUGGUAUACGACGGUUCCGCGUCUGAUUAGCUUGUUGGUGGGGGUAAUGGCUCACCAAGGCGACGAUCAGUAGCCGGCCUGAGAGGGUGAACGGCCACAUUGGGACUGAGACACGGACCAGACUCCUACGGAAGGCAGCAG
Molecule: ribosomal RNA, 256 nt
Filed under: uncultured bacterium
Lineage: Bacteria
Description: partial 16S ribosomal RNA
Rfam family: Bacterial small subunit ribosomal RNA
Source: RNAcentral